Molecule: ribosomal RNA, 237 nt
Filed under: uncultured Staphylococcus sp.
Lineage: Bacteria; Bacillati; Bacillota; Bacilli; Caryophanales; Staphylococcaceae
Description: partial 16S ribosomal RNA
Rfam family: Bacterial small subunit ribosomal RNA
Source: RNAcentral
CCUACUAAGAACUGGGAGUAACUUACUGGAAACCGGAGCUAAUACCGGAUAAUAUUUCGAACCGCAUGGUUCGAUAGUGAAAGGUGGUUUUGCUAUCACUUAUAGAUGGACCCGCGCCGUAUUAGCUAGUUGGUAAGGUAACGGCUUACCAAGGCGACGAUACGUAGCCGACCUGAGAUGGUGAUCGGCCACACUGGAACUGAGACACGGUCCAGACUCCUACGGGAGGCAGCAGGG